UACGAAGGGGGCUAGCGUUGCUCGGAAUUACUGGGCGUAAAGGGCGCGUAGGCGGGUCGUUAAGUUAGAGGUGAAAGCCCAGGGCUCAACCCUGGAAUUGCCUUUAAUACUGUCGACCUUGAGUAUGGCAGAGGUGUGUGGAACUCCGAGCGUAGAGGUGAAAUUCGUAGAUAUUCGGAAGAACACCAGUGGCGAAGGCGACACACUGGGCCAUUACUGACGCUGAGGCGCGAAAGCGUGGGGAGCAAACAGG
RNAcentral lists this ribosomal RNA (253 nucleotides) under uncultured bacterium. RNAcentral's name for it is "partial 16S ribosomal RNA". It matches the Rfam family "Bacterial small subunit ribosomal RNA", at positions 524 to 776 of the family's 1533-position model. The record is from RNAcentral.